UGGCGGCAGGCCUAACACAUGCAAGUCGAGCGGAUGAAGGGAGCUUGCUCCCUGAUUUAGCGGCGGACGGGUGAGUAAUGCCUAGGAAUCUGCCUGGUAGUGGGGGAUAACGUCCGGAAACGGGCGCUAAUACCGCAUACGUCCUACGGGAGAAAGCAGGGGACCUUCGGGCCUUGCGCUAUCAGAUGAGCCUAGGUCGGAUUAGCUAGUUGGUGAGGUAAUAGCUCACCAAGGCGACGAUCCGUAACUGGUCUGAGAGGAUGAUCAGUCACACUGGAACUGAGACACGGUCCAGACUCCUACGGGAGGCAGCAGUGGGGAAUAUUGGACAAUGGGCGAAAGCCUGAUCCAGCCAUGCCGCGUGUGUGAAGAAGGUCUUCGGAUUGUAAAGCACUUUAAGUUGGGAGGAAGGGCAGUAAGCUAAUACCUUGCUGUUUUGACGUUACCGACAGAAUAAGCACCGGCUAACUUCGUGCCAGCAGCCGCGGUAAUACGAAGGGUGCAAGCGUUAAUCGGAAUUACUGGGCGUAAAGCGCGCGUAGGUGGUUCGUUAAGUUGGAUGUGAAAGCCCCGGGCUCAACCUGGGAACUGCAUCCAAAACUGGCGAGCUAGAGUACGGUAGAGGGUGGUGGAAUUUCCUGUGUAGCGGUGAAAUGCGUAGAUAUAGGAAGGAACACCAGUGGCGAAGGCGGCCACCUGGACUGAUACUGACACUGAGGUGCGAAAGCGUG
This 731-nucleotide ribosomal RNA is filed under the name uncultured bacterium. RNAcentral describes it as "bacterial SSU rRNA". It matches the Rfam family "Bacterial small subunit ribosomal RNA", at positions 37 to 763 of the family's 1533-position model. The record is from RNAcentral.